GUUAGCGGCGGGCCUAACACAUGCAAGUCGCACGAGAAAGGGGCUUCGGCCUCGAGUAAAGUGGCGGACGGGUGAGUAACACGUGGGUAAUCUACCUUUCAGUAGGGGAUAACUGUCCGAAAGGAUAGCUAAUACCGCAUACGUCGCCGAGGGUUUCGAUCCUUGGCGGGAAAGCCGGCCUCUCCAUGGAAGCUGGCGCUGAAAGAGGAGCCCGCGCCCCAUCAGCUAGUUGGUAGGGUAACGGCCUACCAAGGCAAAGACGGGUAGCUGGUCUGAGAGGAUGAUCAGCCACACUGGGACUGAGACACGGCCCAGACUCCUACGGGAGGCAGCAGUGGGGAAUAUUGGGCAAUGGGCGCAAGCCUGACCCAGCCACGCCGCGUGAGUGAUGAAGGCCUUCGGGUCGUAAAGCUCUGUGGGGAGGGACGAAAAAACAU
RNAcentral lists this ribosomal RNA (437 nucleotides) under uncultured soil bacterium. RNAcentral's name for it is "bacterial SSU rRNA". It matches the Rfam family "Bacterial small subunit ribosomal RNA", at positions 35 to 456 of the family's 1533-position model. The record is from RNAcentral.